Molecule: transfer RNA, 76 nt
Filed under: Streptomyces hygroscopicus subsp. jinggangensis TL01
Lineage: Bacteria; Bacillati; Actinomycetota; Actinomycetes; Kitasatosporales; Streptomycetaceae
Description: tRNA-Ala
Source: RNAcentral
CCCCAAUCUUUUUGCGGGAUACGGGGGGUGACCCGGUACUCUGGUCUGCGGCGCCCGCCGGAACGUGAUCCCUCCG